GGGAAGGUAGCUCAGUGGUAGAGCGCUUGCCUUGCAUGCAUGAGGCCCUGGAUUCGAUUCUCCAGCACUACUU
This is a non-coding RNA of Dipodomys ordii (Ord's kangaroo rat), 73 nucleotides long. Lineage: Eukaryota; Metazoa; Chordata; Mammalia; Rodentia; Heteromyidae. The record is from Rfam.